GGUAAGCUUGGGCCGCGGGGCGCGGUAAUACGGAGGGGUCAAGCGUUAAUCGGGGUUAGUGGGCGUAAAGCGUGCGUAGGCGGGUCAUGAAGUCGGUUGUGAAAUCCCUGGGCUUAACCUGGGAACUGCAGUCGAUACUGGUGAACUAGAGUGCGGUAGAGGGUGGCGGAACUCCGGGUGUAGCGGUGAAAUGCGUAGAUAUCCGGAAGAACACCGAUGGCGAAGGCAACCACCUGGGCCUGCACUGACGCUGAGGUACGAAAGCGUGGGGAGCAAACAGGAUUAGAUACCCCUGUAGUC
This 300-nucleotide ribosomal RNA is filed under the name uncultured Nonomuraea sp. Its description in RNAcentral is "bacterial SSU rRNA". It matches the Rfam family "Bacterial small subunit ribosomal RNA", at positions 495 to 795 of the family's 1533-position model. The record is from RNAcentral. Lineage: Bacteria; Bacillati; Actinomycetota; Actinomycetes; Streptosporangiales; Streptosporangiaceae.